Molecule: transfer RNA, 83 nt
Filed under: Candidatus Levyibacteriota bacterium
Lineage: Bacteria; Candidatus Levyibacteriota
Description: tRNA-Leu
Rfam family: tRNA
About the family: Transfer RNA (tRNA) molecules are approximately 80 nucleotides in length. Their secondary structure includes four short double-helical elements and three loops (D, anti-codon, and T loops). Further hydrogen bonds mediate the characteristic L-shaped molecular structure. tRNAs have two regions of fundamental functional importance: the anti-codon, which is responsible for specific mRNA codon recognition, and the 3' end, to which the tRNAs corresponding amino acid is attached (by aminoacyl-tRNA synthetases). tRNAs cope with the degeneracy of the genetic code in two manners: having more than one tRNA (with a specific anti-codon) for a particular amino acid; and 'wobble' base-pairing, i.e. permitting non-standard base-pairing at the 3rd anti-codon position.
Source: RNAcentral
GCCGCGAUGGUGAAAUGGUAGACACGCUGGCUUCAGGUGCCAGUGAUCGUAAGAUUGUGGGAGUUCAAGUCUCCCUCGCGGCA